This 403-nucleotide ribosomal RNA is filed under the name uncultured bacterium. RNAcentral describes it as "partial 16S ribosomal RNA". It matches the Rfam family "Bacterial small subunit ribosomal RNA", at positions 30 to 526 of the family's 1533-position model. The record is from RNAcentral.
AUUGAACGCUGGCGGCAGGCCUAACACAUGCAAGUCGAGCGAGCGGCGGACGGGUGAGUAAUGUAUGGGGACUGCCCGAUAGAGGGGGAUAACUACUGGAAACGGUAGCUAAUACCGCAUACUAUCGGAUAACCCAUAUGGGAUUAGCUAGUAGGUGAGGUAAUGGCUCACCUAGGCGACGAUCCCUAGCUGGUGUGAUAGGAUGAACAGCCACAAUGGGACUGAGACACGGACCAGACUCCUACGGGGGCAGCAGUGGGGAAUAUUGCACAAUGGGCGCAAGCCGGAUGCAUCCAUGCCGCGGGUAUGAAGAAGGACCUAGGGUUGUAAAGGACUUUCAGUAGGGAGGCGUUACCGACAGAAGAAGCACCGGCUAACUCCGUGCCAGCAGCCGCGGUAAUAC